CCUACGGGAGGCAGCAGUGGGGAAUAUUGGACAAUGGGGGGAACCCUGAUCCAGCCAUGCCGCGUGUGUGAAGAAGGCCCUCGGGUUGUAAAGCACUUUCAGCGAGGAAGAACGCCUAGCGGUUAAUACCCGCUAGGAAAGACAUCACUCGCAGAAGAAGCACCGGCUAACUCCGUGCCAGCAGCCGCGGUAAUACGGAGGGUGCAAGCGUUAAUCGGAAUUACUGGGCGUAAAGCGCGCGUAGGUGGCUUGAUAAGCCGGUUGUGAAAGCCCCGGGCUCAACCUGGGAACGGCAUACGGAACUGUCAAGCUAGAGUGCAGGAGAGGAAGGUAGAAUUCCCGGUGUAGCGGUGAAAUGCGUAGAGAUCGGGAGGAAUACCAGUGGCGAAGGCGGCCUUCUGGACUGACACUGACACUGAGGUGCGAAAGCGUGGGUAGCAAACAGGAUUAGAUACCCUGGUAGUCCACGCCGUAAACGAUGUCGACCAGCCGUUGGGUGCCUAGCGCACUUUGUGGCGAAGUUAACGCGAUAAGUCGACCGCCUGGGGAGUACGGCCGCAAGGUUAAAACUCAAAUGAAUUGACGGA
Molecule: ribosomal RNA, 587 nt
Filed under: uncultured bacterium
Lineage: Bacteria
Description: bacterial SSU rRNA
Rfam family: Bacterial small subunit ribosomal RNA
Source: RNAcentral